This 376-nucleotide long non-coding RNA is filed under the name Homo sapiens (human). RNAcentral's name for it is "non-protein coding lnc-PLAG1-2:1". The record is from RNAcentral. Lineage: Eukaryota; Metazoa; Chordata; Mammalia; Primates; Hominidae.
CUGUCCUUCACACAGUUCUUUGUGCUGUUGCUGUGGAGCCAAAGGAAGUUGAGGAGGCUGGGGUGCCACCACAGAGGCCUGGAGAGGCAUCUUUUCAAACUGGAAGGAAAAGUUGCCCACAGCACCCUGGCAUGCUUCAGAAGUGAUACAGGUGUCAAAUGUGGCUUGACGGGACUGGAGCCCACUAAGGUGGCCCUGGAUAUGGAGCGCUUCUGGGAGUGGGCAGUGGUGCUGGCGGACACUGUGGUCUCCAGUGGCACAUGCUACCGGGAGGUGCCAAUUUACAGAUUUCCAGAGUCCAGUGAUGUCUGCCUUUGCUCUUUAGGAUGGAGAGCUGCUGACCCAUUCAGGGCUCAAGGCACCCAAGGACCUCUAG